This 491-nucleotide ribosomal RNA is filed under the name Ramulus sp. 1 SB-2021. RNAcentral describes it as "partial large subunit ribosomal RNA". It matches the Rfam family "Bacterial large subunit ribosomal RNA", at positions 1920 to 2622 of the family's 2925-position model. The record is from RNAcentral. Lineage: Eukaryota; Metazoa; Arthropoda; Insecta; Phasmatodea; Phasmatidae.
UUAUUUAAUGGCCGCGGUAUAUUGACCGUGCAAAGGUAGCAUAAUCAUUAGUUUAUUAAUUGUGGACUUGUAUGAAUGGUUGGACGAAAUAUUAUCUGUCUCAUUUUUAUUUUUAUAAUUUAAAUUUUAAGUUAGAAUGCUUAAAUUUUUUUAUUGGACGAGAAGACCCUAUAGAUCUUAAAUAUAUUUAUUUAUAAAUUUAUUUUGUUUAUUAUGUUAUUUAUAUUUUUUAUUUUUUUGUUGGGGUGACAAAAGGAUUUUAAAUUAACUCCUUUUAUUUUCAUACAUUUAUUUAUGAAUAUUUGACCUUUUAUUAUUGUUAUAAGAACUAGAUACCUUAGGGAUAACAGCGUAAUUCUUUCUGAGAGUUCUUAUCGACGAAUGAGAUUGCGACCUCGAUGUUGGAUUAAGAUUAUAACCAGGGGUAGAUUUUUGGUUGUUAGGUCUGUUCGACCUUUAAAUUCUUACAUGAUCUGAGUUCAAACCGGAGA